RNAcentral lists this ribosomal RNA (253 nucleotides) under uncultured bacterium. RNAcentral's name for it is "partial 16S ribosomal RNA". It matches the Rfam family "Bacterial small subunit ribosomal RNA", at positions 524 to 776 of the family's 1533-position model. The record is from RNAcentral.
UACAGAGGGUGCGAGCGUUGUCCGGAAUCACUGGGCGUAAAGGGCGCGUAGGCGGCCUGGUAAGUAGGGGGUGAAAUCUUGCGGCUCAACUGCAAGGCUGCCUCCUAAACUGUCAGGCUUGAGCACAGUAGAGGCAGGUGGAAUUCCCGGUGUAGCGGUGGAAUGCGUAGAGAUCGGGAAGAACAUCGGUGGCGAAGGCGGCCUGCUGGGCUGUUGCUGACGCUGAGGCGCGAAAGCUAGGGGAGCGAACGGG